GUCCUCCCACUCCUGGAGCUCCGAAAUGGCUGUCUCUACAUCCUUAAGCCUUCUAAAGAUGUUGCCCACCUCGAUCUUAUUCCACUACCAUAGCCAUCUCCUCAUCAGUUCAAGCCUUCAUGUCACUCGAUAUCUAGCAUCACCAUGCACCGACAAUCUUCAGACCUCCCCUACAAUAUCUCAAGAUUAGGGGUAGGAAAGCCAAAACUUCUCAAACUAGAAAGGACUCCAAUACGAGAUGACAGUGUCUGUAGUGAAGAAGGUUGGACCAUGGUCAGAGGCAAUCCUC
This 289-nucleotide long non-coding RNA is filed under the name Elaeis guineensis (African oil palm). Its description in RNAcentral is "long non-coding RNA (EGUI_LNC026321)". The record is from RNAcentral. Lineage: Eukaryota; Viridiplantae; Streptophyta; Magnoliopsida; Arecales; Arecaceae.